Molecule: long non-coding RNA, 1325 nt
Filed under: Ananas comosus (pineapple)
Lineage: Eukaryota; Viridiplantae; Streptophyta; Magnoliopsida; Poales; Bromeliaceae
Description: long non-coding RNA (ACOM_LNC040204)
Source: RNAcentral
UGAUUUUCCAUUUUACGAUACUUAAAUCCAAAUAAAUGAGAUUUUCUCAUUUGUAGCGAGGUCAAACCCACCAAGAGCUCCACACGACCCUUCGUGCCUGCGACUCUCUUAGCUCCAAGACUUUAGGUGAUGUCACGAUGCUACAAUUCCGGUUUCGUGAUUUUUGGAAGCUUAUGCCGCGAGCUGCGACAAUCUGUACCGAAAUCGGCCUUUUCUUCAAUAUCUUCGCAUAGCCUCGUCGUAUCGCCGAACCGACUUCGCCAACUCAUCAGAAAACCUAGCAAUUAGGUUUAUACAUGCUCAAUUUAGAUCAAACCUCUACAUAUUGCAAAACCCCAAUUUGAGCCUUAACAUGCUACUAUUGCAAGAAAUCACCAAAUUGGAACUUGAUUCAUGCAAUUAACAUGUUAUUAGCAUCUAGGGAGUUCUCUAAACCCAUUCCUAGAGCAUACGAAUCAUUCCUUAGCAAUCUAUCAUAGUUACUACCAAAGCUUACCUCCAAAGCUUUCUCUAAUAGAGAGGAAGAAGAUGAAAGCUUGAGCUCCAAGCUACUCUCCAACUUUCAAGAACUCUACUCCAACUUCUUCUCCAAUUAAUCCUUUUUUGUGGAGAGAUUAGAAGAGAAAAGGAGUGAGGGGUGAGAACUAGAGAGAAAGAGAGAAAAGGAGAAAAGAAACUUGCUCUCCAAGUCUCUCUCGGGUUGGGCACAAAUGAGAAAAAGAGUGCAAGUUCACAUAUAUAUACUCCCAAAAUACUAUUCACAUCAGAUUGUGGCUCAAGUACAGAUAUUUUUCGUCUGCCCUUCAGAACGUCCGAUUGAGCUCAAACUUGGCAGUCACGAUCAGUUUAACCUUACUUAAUGAAAGAAAUUUUAAUCUUUCAGUUUCGACCCCGUUUGGUCACCGAAAGCUGUACCGAACUGUAAUCUUUAUCAGAUAACUGUCGGAUUUUAUUUUCCACCUUCCGGGUGUCAGAAUGGCAUGAAACUUUAAAUCUAGCCUCAUAAAAAUAAUCCUAACGUAUUCGCAAAUUUUUGAAAUUUUCUGACACCGUGCAUUUUCUGCUAAAAUAUCAGCCCGGUCUCACACAGAAAAUUCUCAAUCUUCUAUUUUCACUCCGAUUUCCGCACGAGUCAAUCCUGACGUAUAAUUUACUUGUCUAAGUCCAAUAAAAAUAGUAUCUCAUACUAUUUUUUAUUUAUAUUCACUUUUAAAAAAAAAUUCGGUAUGCUACAGUUGGCAAGGCAAGCACCGAGGUCGACGUCAACCGGUUCUUUAACUCCUCAAAGCUUCGAUCGCAGUCGUCGCUCCACACGUACUUUACUC